AACCUCCGCAAUGUGAGAAAUCGCGACGGGGGGAUCCCAAGUGCCAUUCUCAACGGGAUGGCUUUUCUUAAGUGUAAAAAGCUUUUGGAAUAAGAGCUGGGCAAGACCGGUGCCAGCCGCCGCGGUAACACCGGCAGCUCUAGUGGUAGCUGUUUUUAUUGGGCCUAAAGCGUUCGUAGCCGGUUUGAUAAGUCACUGGUGAAAUCUUGUAGCUUAACUGUGAGAAUUGCUGGUGAUACUGUUGAACUUGAGGUCGGGAGAGGUUAGCGGUACUCCCAGGGUAGAGGUGAAAUUCUGUAAUCCUGGGAGGACCACCUGUGGCGAAGGCGGCUAACUGGAACGAACCUGACGGUGAGGGACGAAAGCCAGGGGCGCGAACCGGAUUAGAUACCCGGGUAGUCCUGGCCGUAAACGAUGCGGACUUGGUGUUGGGAUGGCUUUGAGCCGCUCCGGUGCCGAAGGGAGCUGUUAAGUCCGCCGCCUGGGAAGUACGGUCGCAAGACUGAAACUUAAAGGAAGU
RNAcentral lists this ribosomal RNA (520 nucleotides) under uncultured bacterium. Its description in RNAcentral is "bacterial SSU rRNA". It matches the Rfam family "Archaeal small subunit ribosomal RNA", at positions 345 to 866 of the family's 1478-position model. The record is from RNAcentral.